Molecule: ribosomal RNA, 446 nt
Filed under: uncultured bacterium
Lineage: Bacteria
Description: partial 16S ribosomal RNA
Rfam family: Bacterial small subunit ribosomal RNA
Source: RNAcentral
CCUACGGGUGGCUGCAGUCGAGAAUCAUUCACAAUGGGGGAAACCCUGAUGGUGCGACGCCGCGUGGGGGAAUGAAGGUCUUCGGAUUGUAAACCCCUGUCAUGUGGGAGCAAAUUAAAAAGAUAGUACCACAAGAGGAAUAGACGGCUAACUCUGUGCCAGCAGCCGCGGUAAUACAGAGGUCUCAAGCGUUGUUCGGAAGCACUGGGCGUAAAGCGUGCGUAGGCUGUUACGUAAGUCGAGUGUGAAAGGCGCGGGCUCAACCCGCGGACGGCACAUGAUACUGCGAGACUAGAGUGAUGGAGGGGGAACCGGAAUUCUCGGUGUAGCAGUGAAAUGCGUAGAUAUCGAGAGGAACACUCGUGGCGAAGGCGGGUUCCUGGACAUUAACUGACGCUGAGGCACGAAGGCCAGGGGAGCGAAAGGGAUUAGAUACCCGUGUAGUC